GUCUUGCUGCUCCGUUCGUCGAAAGCUUCACAUCCCGGGGACCUUAAUUCACCUCUAAGGGAGCUGUUCCCGUCCAGGCUCGUGGGCUUGGACACACGGCGCCCACCUGUUCAAAACAGGUCCGAGGGGAUUGAAUCCGCUUUCACGGCUCAUAGUGGCGCCGCC
Molecule: non-coding RNA, 165 nt
Filed under: Caulobacter ginsengisoli
Lineage: Bacteria; Pseudomonadati; Pseudomonadota; Alphaproteobacteria; Caulobacterales; Caulobacteraceae
Description: 6S / SsrS RNA
Rfam family: 6S / SsrS RNA
About the family: E. coli 6S RNA was the first non coding RNA to be sequenced, but its function was unknown until recently. It consists of 184 nucleotides that fold into an extended hairpin structure with a large single-stranded internal bulge.
Source: RNAcentral